GAUGAACGCUGGCGGCGUGCCUAAUACAUGCAAGUCGAGCGAACAGACGAGGAGCUUGCUCCUCUGACGUUAGCGGCGGACGGGUGAGUAACACGUGGAUAACCUACCUAUAAGACUGGGAUAACUUCGGGAAACCGGAGCUAAUACCGGAUAAUAUAUUGAACCGCAUGGUUCAAUAGUGAAAGACGGUUUUGCUGUCACUUAUAGAUGGAUCCGCGCCGCAUUAGCUAGUUGGUAAGGUAACGGCUUACCAAGGCAACGAUGCGUAGCCGACCUGAGAGGGGGCGGGGCCACACUGGAAGUGAGACACGGCCCAGCCUCCGAGGGGAGGCACAAGUAGGGAAUCUUCCGAAAUGGGCGAAAGCCUGACGGAGCAACGCGGCGGGAGUGAUGAAGGUCUUGGGAUCUAAAAACUCUGUUAUGGGGGAAAAACAAAUGUGUAAGUAACUAUGCACGUCUUGAGGGUACCUAAUCAGAAAGCCCCGGCUAACUACGUG
This 497-nucleotide ribosomal RNA is filed under the name uncultured bacterium. RNAcentral describes it as "partial 16S ribosomal RNA". It matches the Rfam family "Bacterial small subunit ribosomal RNA", at positions 28 to 507 of the family's 1533-position model. The record is from RNAcentral.